CGAAGUAUAGCUUAACCAAAGCAUCUCGCUUACACCGAGAAAACGUCCGUGAAAACCAGACUACUUCGA
This 69-nucleotide transfer RNA is filed under the name Phrynoidis asper (giant Asian toad). RNAcentral describes it as "tRNA-Val". It matches the Rfam family "tRNA". Rfam says of the family: Transfer RNA (tRNA) molecules are approximately 80 nucleotides in length. The record is from RNAcentral. Lineage: Eukaryota; Metazoa; Chordata; Amphibia; Anura; Bufonidae.